This 279-nucleotide ribosomal RNA is filed under the name Bacteroides fragilis. RNAcentral describes it as "partial 23S ribosomal RNA". It matches the Rfam family "Bacterial large subunit ribosomal RNA", at positions 2061 to 2349 of the family's 2925-position model. The record is from RNAcentral. Lineage: Bacteria; Pseudomonadati; Bacteroidota; Bacteroidia; Bacteroidales; Bacteroidaceae.
GCCGAUUACCCGCGAUGGGACGAAAAGACCCCGUGAACCUUUACUAUAGCUUAACAUUGAAUUUGGGUAAUUGAUGUGUAGGAUAGGCCGGAGACUUUGAAGCAGGUACGCCAGUGUUUGUGGAGUCGCUGUUGAAAUACGGCCCUUUGGUUAUUUGAGUUCUAACUCGCUGAUGCGAGGACACUGUUUGGUGGGUAGUUUGACUGGGGUGGUCGCCUCCAAAAGCGUAACGGAGGCUUCUAAAGGUGCCCUCACGCCGAUUGGUAACCGGCGGUAGAG